GAAAGUAGGAAAGGGCGCAUGGCGGAUGCCUUGGCUCUCGGAGGCGAUGAAGGACGUGAUAAGCUGCGAUAAGUCACGGGGAGGUGCAAAUAACCUUUGAUCCGUGAAUCUCCGAAUGGGACAACCCGAUAUCCUGAAGGGAUAUCACCUCAUCUAGUUGAGGAGCUAACGCAGGGAACUGAAACAUCUUAGUACCUGCAGGAAAAGAAAAUAACAAUGAUUCCCCCAGUAGUGGCGAGCGAACGGGGAAGAGCCCAAACCAUUCAUGUUACGGCAUGGAUGGGGUUGUAGGACCACGGCGUUGCAAGAACUCUUGUGAGAAGAACAGCCUGGAAAGGCUGGCCACAGACGGUGACAGUCCGGUAUUCGAAGCAAGACGAAGCAUAGUGGUAUCCUGAGUAGCGCGGAACACGAGGAAUUCUGCGUGAAUCUGCCGGGACCAUCCGGUAAGGCUAAAUACUCCCGAGAGACCGAUAGUGGACCAGUACCGUGAGGGAAAGGUGAAAAGCACUUCGAACAGAAGAGUGAAACAGUACCUGAAACCGUGCGCCUACAAGCGGUCGGAGCACGAAAGUGUGACGGCGUGCCUUUUGCAUAAUGAACCUACGAGUUACCGUAUCUGGCAAGGUUAAGGGUCACGAGACCUGCAGCCGAAGCGAAAGCGAGUCUGAAGAGGGCGUCGAGUCAGUUGCGGUAGACGCGAAACCAAGUGAUCUACCCUUGGCCAGGAUGAAGUCUGGGUAACACCAGAUGGAGGUCCGCACCAAUAAGCGUUGAAAAGCUUCUGGAUGAGCUGAGGGUAGGGGUGAAAGGCUAAUCAAACUUGGAGAUAGCUCGUACUCCCCGAAAUGCAUUUAGGUGCAGCCUCGCGGGUUACUGAUGUGAGGUAGAGCGACUGAUUGGAUGCGAGGGCUUCACCGCCUAUCAAGUCCUGACAAACUCCGAAUGCGCAUCAGUUUUACCGCGGGAGUGAGGGCAUGGGUGCUAAGGUCCGUGCCCGAGAGGAGAAGAAUCCGGACUAUCAGCUAAGGCCCCGAAAUGACAGCUAAGUUAAACUAACGAAGUCUGAUUGCUAAGACAGCUAGGAUGUUGGCUUGGAAGCAGCCAUUCAUUUAAAGAGUGCGUAACAGCUCACUAGUCGAGGAAUCGGGCGUGGAUAAUAAUCGGGUAUCAAGUUGUCUGCCGAAGCUAUAGAAUCAGCAAUGAUUGGUAGGGGAGCAUUCCAUUCCGCGUUGAAGGCGUGGCGUGAGCCAUUCUGGAGCGUAUGGAAAAGCAAAUGUAGGUAUAAGUAACGAUAAAGGGGGUGAGAAACCCCCUCGCCGAAAGACUAAGGUUUCCUGAUCAACGCUAAUCGGAUCAGGGUAAGUCGGGUCCUAAGGUUCAGCCGAACGGCGAGACCGAUGGCAGAAACGGUUAAUAUUCCGUUACUACCUUUGAGGGUGACGUGGGGACGCAGGAGUGACACCGCCGCCGGCUGACGGAAUAGCCGGUUAAAGAGUGUAGACGUUGAUUUCCGCAGGCAAAUCCACGGAAAGAGUCGAACUUGACAGUAUGGAACGUCCUUCGGGACAAUCCAAUAGUGCGGGUAAGCAGACUGCCGAGAAAAUCCGCUAAACAUAACUUCAGAGGUACCCGUACCGCAAACGGACACACGUAGUCGGGUUGAAUAUACUAAGGCGCUUGAGUGAAUCACGGUUAAGGAACUAGGCAAACUGACCCUGUAACUUCGGGAUAAAGGGUCCCUACCCAGAAAUGGGAGGGCGCAGAGAAUAGGUCCAGGCAACUGUUUAACAAAAACACAGGGCUGUGCCAAUAUGAAAGUAGACGUAUACAGCCUGACACCUGCCCGGUGCUGGAAGGUUAAGAGGAGAUGUCAUCGCAAGAGAAGCAUUGAAUUGAAGCCCCAGUAAACGGCGGCCGUAACUAUAACGGUCCUAAGGUAGCGAAAUUCCUUGUCGGGUAAGUUCCGACCUGCACGAAUGG
This 1983-nucleotide ribosomal RNA is filed under the name human gut metagenome. RNAcentral's name for it is "bacterial LSU rRNA". It matches the Rfam family "Bacterial large subunit ribosomal RNA", at positions 1 to 1999 of the family's 2925-position model. The record is from RNAcentral.